ACGGCCGCAUCACAUCGAAAUACCAGUUCCUGUACGAUCACCGAAGUUAAGCAAUAUUGAGACUUGUCACUACCUAGAUAGAUGACCGCUUGGGAAUACCAGGUUCUGUA
Molecule: non-coding RNA, 110 nt
Organism: Acanthosepion pharaonis
Lineage: Eukaryota; Metazoa; Mollusca; Cephalopoda; Sepiida; Sepiidae
Source: the annotation of a GenBank genome assembly